GACGAACGCUGGGGGCGUGCUUAACACAUGCAAGUCGAACGGAAAGGCCCUGCUCUUGUGGGGUGCUCGAGUGGCGAAAGGGUGAGUAAAACGCGAGUAACCUGCCCCUGACUUUGGGAUAACUCCAGGAAACUGGGGCUCUAACCGGAUAGGAGCUCCUGCUGCAUGGUGGGGGUUGGUAAGUUUCGGCGGUUUGGGAUGGACUCGCGGCUUAUCAGCUUGUUGGUGGGGUAGUGGCUUACCAAGGCGUCGACGGGUAGCCGGCCUGGGGGGGUGACCGGCCACAAUGUGACUGAGGUACGACCCAGACUCCAACGGGAGGCAUCGGUGGAAAUUAUUGCACACUAGGCGGGAGCCUGAUACAGCGACGCCGCGUGCGGGAUGACGGCCUUCGGGUUAUAAACCGCUUUCGCCUGUGACGAACAGUGAGUGACGGUAAUGGGUAAGGAAGCACCGGCUAACUACGUG
This 468-nucleotide ribosomal RNA is filed under the name uncultured bacterium. Its description in RNAcentral is "partial 16S ribosomal RNA". It matches the Rfam family "Bacterial small subunit ribosomal RNA", at positions 28 to 507 of the family's 1533-position model. The record is from RNAcentral.